Lathyrus oleraceus (garden pea) is the source of this 522-nucleotide long non-coding RNA. RefSeq lists it as uncharacterized. The transcript has 2 exons. Lineage: Eukaryota; Viridiplantae; Streptophyta; Magnoliopsida; Fabales; Fabaceae. The record is from RefSeq and is a predicted model, not a curated record.
CUAAUCACCUUGAUCUUGUGGCUAGAGCUCCAAGGAACCGUCCUCGCGUGAUACAGCGACUCGUGAACCAUCGAUAUUUGUGGCUAGAGCUAUAAUUGGUGAGGGUUUCCAAUCUUCGUUUUUUAGCUGGUACUUGACCUUGAUCUUGUCCAUGGAGGAAGAAGUGAAAUGAAGAGAGUUAAAGUGUUGAAGGUGACUUUUAUUACGAAGAGAAUAGGGUAGUGAAAAUGUGGAACAAGAAGACAGUCAUGGUUAGGUUUGUUUUGAGAUUUAAGCGCGGUGGUUACGAGGUAACGAGUAGUGAUUGAGUAGGAGCUAGUACUUGGAGUCUAGAGUAGUUCCUUAGUGGGUCAUGCUCUGAUAGAUGUAACAUCGGGAAGGGAUGUUUUAAAUGUUUUACUGUUGGUUGUGAACCAUUUUACAUGUAAUGUGUUACAUGUUUUGAUCGAUUUGAUUUAUAUCCGCUGCGAUUUAUGCGAAUGUUUAUUUGAUUAAAUAAAGAGCAUGACUGUUAUUUUGGAA